Long non-coding RNA from Homo sapiens (human), 7895 nucleotides. RefSeq annotates it as long independently transcribed non-coding RNA 2803. The record is from RefSeq and is a predicted model, not a curated record. Lineage: Eukaryota; Metazoa; Chordata; Mammalia; Primates; Hominidae. The transcript has 5 exons.
CCAUAAUUCAAUUACCUCCCCCUGGGUCCCACCCACAACAUGUGGGAAUUCUGGGAAAUACAAUUCAAGUUGAUAUUUGGGUGGAGACAAAGCCAAAACAUAUCAGCCAUCAUCGCAGGUUCAAUGAAAAGCUAGUUUAGGAAAAUGCUCAAAUUAAGAUUUCUGAAAUAUCCCCUUUCCUACCACAUGUCCAGUGCAUUCUCUCACCGGAGAGUAGGACUUAGGUGGCAGGGGCUGAACCAGCAUCACCUCUACUAGUCUUCUUAUAUGCAGGCAACAAGACUGAAGAAGGGAAAGUGAAUUGAGAUUGCAGGCAAGAGAUAAGGUUGUUUGUCAAGAAAAACCCCGAUAUUGAUCAUAUCUAUGGAGCCACAAGUGGAAGCCAAAAGUGGUCUUCCCAGUGUGUUAAUCUCUGGGAGGUGUUCUUAUCUUCCAGCAUCUACUCCCUUCUAGUUAUCUAAUUGCAUUGUAACAAAUCUUUAUGACAGAAGUGGAAUGCCUCUUUCUCCCUCCCUUUCCCCACCUCCCCUUGGUAUGUGAUGGUAGACAGUAUAGUGACUUCGAGUGUUUAUUUAACUGUGCAUGCUUUUUCUCCAUCGUCUAAACAUCCGCCAGGAACCUUGACAUUAGUUUCACCUCUCCUCUGGGGCUGAGAGAUGGGAAAGAAGCGUCAAGAACUUGAACAGAAAUCCAGCUCUCAGUACAUUGCAAAAACCAGCCCUUUUUACUCAGAUCACCAGCAAAUCUGAGGCCACCGAGAAGCUCCCCAGGCCCCUUGGGCGCAAAGGAAACAUUAAGCAUCUAUGUGCUCUUCUCCCCUGCCGAUAUCAUCCAUCUGAAGGAUUUUUCCCGUACCCUGGGAAGAUACACAAAAGUUUGCAGAAAUGCUCCACAGCUUGUUUUUAGUUUACAGCCCUGCACAUAGGGAUGUGCACUGACUCUUGUGGGUAAUCCUGCAACCAGCCCAUUUUGCUUGUUUGAGGACCUGGAGAUGAUCCACCACCUAAGGUGGCACUGUGACCAGAGGAAAUUGAUUACCACUCCCCUACAACUACGGAACUGAGCACGUUAGAGAUCCAUCCAGAGCGAUUGCUAGAAGCAAUCCACUAAAGAGACGAGGUCUCACUAUGUUGCCCAGGCUGAUCUUGAACUCCUGGGUUCAAGAGAUCCACCCAUCUCAGCCUCCCAAAGCGCUGGGAUUACAGGUGUGAGCCACCGUGCCCAGCCCUGAUGCAUUUUCUGAAAGCUCUUCAGAAGCAAGUAAAUUGCUAAAGUAUUGUGUCUCCUAAAACGUUCAUGGAAAGGAUAGAAAGGACCCUGACAUCAUUUGCGCUGGAAACCCUGAGACAAAGUCAGAAAGAUCUGGAAAGACCUGCCAGAGGAAAUCUGCCACCCCUCUGGACUAGGAGACUUCAUCUACAUAAAAGUGGGCUGUCACCAUGCUGGGAGGGACCCUUUAAAGUGCUGUCGAUGACCCAUAAGGCUAUCAGUGCAAAAGGCAAACUGCUGAAUCCAGGCUUCCUAUGUGAAGCUAGCACCACAGGACAGGUGGACUGUGCUUUCUACAAAGGACCUAAAACUGAAGUUUUCUACUCAACUGAAAAGAAGUAUUCUAGAAAAUGUAUUACUAUUCCUAUAGGCUGCCUGGCUGUUCUGUUCAUGACGGUGGUUAUUCCAAUUACUUUGAGAAUUAUAUUUAUUAGAAAACAAACAGUAUUAUUUGUUGCACUUCUUUUUUCUUCUGCACUCCCAGUAAAUGUUCCCAUAACCCCACAUCACCAAUCAGCUUUAAAUUAUGCUCCCAGGAUUAACAUGAUCUGGACUUACAAGUCCAACAAUUUCAUUUUUAGCAGAGUGUAAGUGGGGUCAUUUUCACUAGUACUGUUCAAUAAUAAUGAAAGUAAUAAAUAUGCAUCCAGACACUCAAGCUCUAAAUUUGACACCAAGAAAAGUUAACUGGUUUGAUUGGAAGGAUGAUGUAGAAAGGCAUCUAAUGAAUAGACAAACAGAAACUGCAAAAGACAGUUUUAAUGUCACUAGAUUCACAAUGGGAUGCAAGUUCUCUCCAAUUCCAGUACAGAUGAAUAAACAAAAGUGAAUGCCUGUUAUAUUUAAAGGUUAUUCCUCCAAGGCAAAUAUUAUACUGAAUUUUAAAAUUCAUCAUACUGUGAUUCUGGUAAUUGCAUUGUUUGCAUUUUACUAUAGAUUUGCUGAAUUUUCAGGCAACUGCAAGUUGCCCAGAAAAAGGUACAAAUAAUUAGGAGAUUGUAAUGUGAUUUUUGUAGUAACACAGGGAGGUGAUUGUAAGGGCAAAUACAAAUUAAAAAUAAGAGGCUUAACUCUCCCUGUUGAAAAUAAGAGAAAAUAUCUCCCCUCUUUCUUUUCAGAAUUUCUUUUUCUAUUCUUUUCAAAUGUGUAUAAAUCUCUAUGGCUAAAUAAGUUUCUCAACUCAGGAAUGUUUCCUGCAGGGCCUGGGAGUCAUCUUUUUGAAAUGCAAACAUCACGGAAGAUAGUGUCCCUAUCUCAGCACCUACUGUUGUAGUCGGCACAUUGCAGGUACUCAAAACAAUUUUGUGAAUGAGGAUGUAUGUCUUCUUCAGAUGGGAUCAUUCCCUUGACCCCUUUGCAGGACUUGCAAAGAUGUUCACCUGUUUACUCAGCCUGCAGCUCUCAACCCCUCAUGGAAUGGGGAGCACACAGGUGAGUGGGUGCAGGAGCCAAGACGAGUGCUUCUGGGUGCUGGCAGGAGUAGAACUCUCUGUGGCCCCAUGGCAGCAUCUGGUACCCCUGUGACCCCUGGAGCCCCAGAGGGCAUGUGUUACAGUGUGAUCUUUUAGCUUUGCCAUCCAUGGACACCUUAAGUGUUUAACAGCUCAGUGGAGGGUCAGGGUAACAGCUUUUUGCACCUACCCUCUGGGUACCUGAGUUCUGGUCCAGCAUCCAGGAAGAAUCAGGUUAUGUGAACAAAUUGAAGGGUGGUAAAUGUGGAGGAUUUUACUGAGCAGUGGAAGUGGCUCUCAGCGGUAUGGGAGCUGUAAAGGGGAUGGAGUGGGAAGGUGGUCUUCCCCUGGAGUUUGGCCGUCCUCAGCCGAACUCUUCUCUGUCUCUGAAGUCCUGCCAUCAAGCCCUCCCUCUGAAGUCAAGCUGUUUCUCUCCGACACCUGGCUGCUUCUUCUUUUUUCUCCUCUGUGGCUCUGCUUCUGGGGCCUGGGGUUAUUAUGGGUGCAGGAUGUGAGGAGAGGAGAGCCAGGGUGGUUUUGGAAAAGGCAACAUUCGGGUGAGAAAACAGGAAUGCAUGCUCUCACUUUGGGCUGCAGUUUCAGGCUUAAGGGUGUGUCACUUGCUGGGACCACCCUCUUCUACCCAGUAUUUCCCUGCCUCCUGUGUGUAUCACUCUCAGUUUCACACACCAAAAAGUAUAUUCCUCCAUGCCAGACUGCUGGACACUGGAUCCACACCACUCUCUCUCCUCUGAGGAUGCUGCUGUCUCCUCCCUCCCUGCAGCUCCAAUGUGACAUCCUCAAGAGGGUUCUCUUACCACCCUAACAAAAGGAACUGCUUGCCCCCAACACACAUGCAUACAUGCACACUCUUUUCCUGGUUUCUUUUCUCAAAUCACCUUGCACUAACUGAAAGUAUCAAUUAAGAUCAUCAAGUUCAGUUAGUCCAUUUCAUAGAUGAAACCUGGGCAGGUUAAUGUGCAUUUACCCACAGAUAACAGCUAGUUACUGAAAGAGCAGAAGCAUGAUUAAAAUCUUCCUGCUAGGAGGAUCUUCUCCCUCAGCACCCUGAGACCCCUCAUUGGCCCUGUGUGUCUUCCUGGAAGGUGAGCUGUGAAGCAGCCCACCCCUGGUCAGCUGUUCCUGGUGGAGCCAAGGCAGGGUAAGGCCCACAGCUUGCUCCCUCCCGGUCCUCCAUCCACUCUGGGGAGAGGGCCUGGGCCCAGCCCCCUCACACUCCCUCAGGGAUCCUUUUGGCUGCAGCUUCUCCUGCACACUAGCAUUUUUUAAUUUUUGGCUGGUGGGGGUAGGAUUUCUGAGUUCCAGUUUGAAGAGGGAGAAUCUGACAGACCUGGCUAAGAACUAACCUCUCUGUCCAUGUUAGGGGCACCAAUCAAUCAAAAUGUGAGUUGGUUACCCUUGAGUGAACUGUCCACUCCAGCCUCACUCAUCUGCCACUGGGGGUGAGGGUAAGGGCGGAGACAAGAAGAGUCAGGGGUGCAUGAUUGCCCACCUGCCCUUCAGCAGGGACUGGCUUUGUCUUCCUUUCUUCUGGUCCUUUAGAAAUUGCAGAGGAAGAAUUCCAGCUCAGAUCUGUCCACUCCCUCAGGGUCCCAGACUCACACACUUUUUACCACACCUUCUCCACUCUCAUGCCUCCACCCAUCCCUGCCUCCUAGAGAUCAGGGAAAGGGCCUCUGAGCACUGGCCCAAGAUCUCUCAGGUAGGGCCUGUUUUAGAGAAAAAAGGUUGUUUAAAAACAUAGCCAAACACAAAUAACUCCUGGCGCAGAUGAUUAGUAUUCAUUUAGCUCUGCCUAGACUUAUAACUCCCAGGGUGUCAAGGAGCAGGACAGUUUACAAGCUUUGGAUUCAAACCCAUCAUUAAGGCCAUUAUUAAUGAUGAGUUUGGAUUCAAACCCAUUGUUAAGUCAAGAAAGGGAUGACCAGAUAGUAGAUAUUCCCAUUACCUUUAUUUCAUUACAUGAAUGUAUAAAAUUAUCACAUGUACCCCCAAAAUAUGUACAUCUACUAUGUAUCAAUAAAAAAAGAAGUCAUGACCACCUUAGAUACCCAUAUAUGUCUUCUGAAUCUGGAUUGGGAGCAGAGACAUCUGUUUCUGCACACCUGGAGCUGCUCUCCUCUCUCUGACCCACUAAGGAAGUGUAGCAGAGCAGUAGUGAUAAAAGUGACCUUAUUAUGCACACUAGGCUGAGUGGGCUCUAAGUUCCUUUAUGUGUAUGUCUGAAAUAUAUCUUUGUUUUGUUUUGUUUUGUUUUGUUGAGACAGGGUCUUGCUCUGUUGCCCAGGCUGGAGUACAAUGGUGCAAUCAUGGGUCACUGCAGCUUCAACCCCCUGGGCUCAAGGGAUCCUGCUGCCUCAGCCACUUGAGUAGUUGGGACUACAGUCAUAUGACACUGUGCCCAGCUAAUUUUUUUUUUUUUUUGUCAAUAGCUUAUUGGUUUCAUUAAAAUAUUUCCUCUUAGAAGUAAUUCAAAACACCCAUUUAAAAAACAUAUUACAUUCCUGUUGCGUCCACUUACUAUUAUUGAAAGAAGAGUCUACAUUUGAUUAUGCACCCAGCUAAUUUUUUAAGUUUUUUGUAGAUACCAGGUCUUGCCAGGUUGGCUAGGCUGGUCUCAAACUCCUGGGCUCAAGCAAUCCUCCCACCUUGGCCUCCCAAAGUGCUAUUACUACAGGUGUGAGCCACCCCAUCCUGCUUGUAAUAUUUCAUAAUUUUAAAAAAUUGUUGCUAAUCUGGAUAUUUAAACUAUUUUUACUAACUACUCAUUUGUGACACAGCUCACGAACUUGAUACCUUGCAACCUGGUUGAGAAAGAUGCUACAAAGAAUUUCUGUGCCCCAAGGACAUACAUGAUAUAGCAGGGUUGUAUGAAGGCAUUUGAGUCCUAACACUCAAACAGUAGGUGCUGGUGAAAAAAAGAGAAUAAAUACAGUGCCUGCUCUUGGGGAGCACUCUACUGAAGGUGUGAGGUCUAGUGGGAGGUGUCUCCCACCCCCUACCAUAUGCAAUUCAAGUUAAGCAAUGCUAAAACCAUAAAGUGACAAAUAACAAAAAUUUACUUGUAUGUUAAAAAUCAAGUCGCUUCUUGGAUGGGCUCUUCUGGCUUUCCUAGAUCCAUGCUUUGUCUUACUGGUGGGUAAAGUCUAGACCAGUGCUGGUCUAGACUGUAAGCUCCCUGAGGGCAGGACUGGGGAUUACAACACCCCAUGUGCCUUACAGCUCGCCUCACGCACAGCCUGCCUCUAGUGUGUGCUGCCUCCAUCUCUGUGGAAUAUAGAGGAACUAACUGUUUCUGGGUGUCUGGAAUGGAUGCUUGAAGGACAAUGGGCUGAGAAGCCUCAGAAGUCAUUUUUUUCCUCAUCUAUGGAAGUGCUGAAGGAACCCUAAGGAGGUGGGUCGUUACAGACCUGCUUCCAUCUGUAACUCCUGCUCAUGGACACAUUUGCUGGGCACCUCAUCUGGGGAUGAGGACAAGGUUGGCUCACCACUGAGCACUGACACAGUUCAGUUUGAGGCAGGACCAGAUUUAACAUUUUUAUCCACCCACCUGCUUUCCUACUAUUUGCGGCUUCAUAUCUUUAUGUCUUGAAGGCUGUGAUAUUGUGAUAUAAUAAGAAAUAUAUAUUUGGUCUUCAUCCGUGUCCAAGGCACAAGAGCUCCUAAAACCCUUGGAAUUUUCUGAGGGAUAGGUGUGAGAGGAGUGUCUUUGUUAUUUAUAAUAAGCCCCUUUCAACCAUACCUCAGUUUGUGCAAGUGAGGUGACUCUUUGAGGAUGGGGGUUGGUUGCAGAAAAACCAACCCUGUGAUUAGAGGGUUGGAACUUUCAGCCCUGGACACCAUUCCUGCCUCCACCCCACAUCUCUGGAGAGGGGCAAGGGGCUGAAGAUGGACUUAAUCCCAAUGACCAAAGAUUUAAUCAACCAUGCCUAUGUAACGGAACCUUGGUUAAAAAAAAAAAAAAAAAAAACUAAAGAAAGGGGUUCAAAGAGCUCCAGAGUUGGUGAAUGCUGGGAGGGUGGUGCAACCCAACUCCAUGAGUACAGAAGUCCUGUGCUUGGAACCUUCUUGGACCUUGCCCUAUAUGCCUCUUCAUCUGACUGCUCAUCUGUUUCCUUUAUAAUUAACCAGUAACAGUAAGGAAAAGUGUUUCCCUGAGUUCUGUGAGCCCUGAUAGCAAAUUAUCAAACCUGAGCAGAAGUCAUGGGAACGCAUGAUUUGUAGCUUAGUUGGUCAGAAGUACUGGAGGCCUGAGACUUGUGACUGUUGUGUGAAGUGGGGACAAUGUUGUGGGACUGAGCCCUUAGCCUGUGGGGUCUGUGCUAACUUUGGGUAGUCAGUGUCAGAAAUGACUUAAAUUGUAAGUCAGCUAGUUGGUGUUCACAGAGAAUUAGUGAACUUCUUGAUGGGGAAAACUUGUGUGUCUUGUGUUUAAAGUGUUGAGUAUAGAAAAUAGUUUUCUUUUAAAGGUCUUCGGAUUACCUGAGCCUCCUCCUUAAGGGGCAGCCACCUUAAGCUUUUGUUAACCUACUCUUCAGGUACCAGGAGCCUCAGUUAGGCCUAGUAGGAAUAAAAGUGGACAUAGGAUAAUAUGACAAAUAAUGUGGCUUGGCUUACCCAAACCCCAUUUCCAAUUCACUUCCUACUUGCCGCCUUUCCCACAGGGGUGGCCAGGAAACACAGUUUUAACUAAUGAGACAUAGAUGGAGCUCUGCUGUGAGGUUCCUGGGAAAUCCUUUGCUUUUCUCAUUCAAGCAUCACCCUGAUUCUUUUAUAAUUGAGUCCAAAGCUCAUACUACUCACCACACAACAGCCAAUAAGUAGAGAUACAAGGUGUUGGGGCAAGGAAAGCAACUUUUAUUGGGAAAGCCAACAAACUGAGAAGAUGGUGGACUCGUGUCCUAAAGAACUGUCUUAAGUUAAUACAAAUUUUAGACUCUUUUUAUGUUAGGGGAAGGGAGAAGAGGAAGGGAAUUGAGGUCAAGAGAUGACUGAUGAUCACAGACAUCUGGGUGGCAGUGAGGGUCCAAGGAGGUUGUGAAACUUCUGUGUUCUUGGUCAAGUCACAGUGCUCCUCUAAAUCUUUAACAUGGACAGGGAUGGUGGCUCAUGCCUGUAAUCCCAGCACUUGACGGAGGUUGAGGCAGGAGGAUC